GUACACAAAAAUGCACAUACUGUGAGCUCGAUGAGUAGGGCGGGACACGUGGUAUCCUGUCUGAAUAUGGGGGGACCAUCCUCCAAGGCUAAAUACUCCUGACUGACCGAUAGUGAACCAGUACCGUGAGGGAAAGGCGAAAAGAACCCCGGCGAGGGGAGUGAAAAAGAACCUGAAACCGUGUACGUACAAGCAGUGGGAGCCUCUUAAUGGGGUGACUGCGUACCUUUUGUAUAAUGGGUCAGCGACUUAUAUUCUGUAGCAAGGUUAACCGAAUAGGGGAGCCGAAGGGAAACCGAGUCUUAACUGGGCGUUAAGUUGCAGGGUAUAGACCCGAAACCCGGUGAUCUAGCCAUGGGCAGGUUGAAGGUUGGGUAACACUAACUGGAGGACCGAACCGACUAAUGUUGAAAAAUUAGCGGAUGACUUGUGGCUGGGGGUGAAAGGCCAAUCAAACCGGGAGAUAGCUGGUUCUCCCCGAAAGCUAUUUAGGUAGCGCCUCGUGAAUUCAUCUCCGGGGGUAGAGCACUGUUUCGGCAAGGGGGUCAUCCCGACUUACCAACCCGAUGCAAACUGCGAAUACCGGAGAAUGUUAUCACGGGAGACACACGGCGGGUGCUAACGUCCGUCGUGAAGAGGGAAACAACCCAGACCGCCAGCUAAGGUCCCAAAGUCAUGGUUAAGUGGGAAACGAUGUGGGAAGGCCCAGACAGCCAGGAUGUUGGCUUAGAAGCAGCCAUCAUUUAAAGAAAGCGUAAUAGCUCACUGGUCGAGUCGGCCUGCGCGGAAGAUGUAACGGGGCUAAACCAUGCACCGAAGCUGCGGCAGCGAC
Molecule: ribosomal RNA, 832 nt
Filed under: Escherichia coli
Lineage: Bacteria; Pseudomonadati; Pseudomonadota; Gammaproteobacteria; Enterobacterales; Enterobacteriaceae
Description: partial 23S ribosomal RNA
Rfam family: Bacterial large subunit ribosomal RNA
Source: RNAcentral